This 283-nucleotide ribosomal RNA is filed under the name uncultured Sandonidae. Its description in RNAcentral is "partial 18S ribosomal RNA". The stretch from base 105 to 283 matches the Rfam family "Eukaryotic small subunit ribosomal RNA", at positions 735 to 955 of the family's 1831-position model. The record is from RNAcentral. Lineage: Eukaryota; Cercozoa; Glissomonadida; Viridiraptoridae.
GACUUCUGGUGUAAUGUGCCUGGCCCGCGGCUCUUUAGGCUUGUGAGUGCCGGAGCGCGUUUACCAUCCUUCUGGGGAACGAGUCUACCGUUUACUCGGCCGGAUUCGGGAUCCAGAUCAUUUACUUUGAAAAAAUUAGAGUGCUAUGAAUACAUUAGCAUGGAAUAAUAAUCUAGGACUUCGGUUCUAUUUUGUUGGUUUCUAAAGCUGAAGUAAUGAUAGUAUUGGCCGGUCAGAGGUGAAAUUCUUGGAUUCGGUCAAGACUAACUUAUGCGAAAGCAUU